UUUUAUACAAUGAUUUUGCUGCACAGCAAAGUAAUAGUAACAGGGAAGUAGGUAAUUAUAUGGCAUAUUACAAAAUUUUUAACACUGAAUUCACUUUGACAGAGCUACUAAAUGGAGAUAAAAAAGCAUAUGACAAUGUUCACUGUUUCUUUUGGACUGAAGUAGACGUUAAACGAGGUGCUAACGAAAUUGGCUCUUGCAUUUUUGGGAAUAUUUACAAAAUCUGUGUGCAGAAGAUGAAGAACCGAAACAAAUUAUAUUUUACUCAGACAACUGCUGUGGGCAGAAUAAAAAUAAAUAUAUCGCCACAUUAUAUUUGUAUGCCGUAACUAAUAUUAAAUAUUUUCAGUAUAACACAUAAAUUUAUGAUAAGGGGACAUACACAGAAUGAAGCAGACAGUGUGCACAGCCUAAUAGAAAGAGAGGUAAAGAAAAACUUAAAAGCAGGUCCAAUUUACAGUCCAGACCAGUAUGUUACCCUUAUUAAAAAUGCAAAAAAAGUAAACCUGCAAUAAAUGUUCAUGAAAUGACCUUUGAAUCUUUUAUCAACUUAAAGUCUCUUCAAGAGCAGUGGGGUUACAACUUUACGAGUACUGUAGACAUAGAUGGGAAAACCGUAAAUUGGAAUGAUGUAAAGGUUUUGCAGAUGGUGAAAUCAGAACCAUUUCAUUUUUAUUAUAAGACUUCCUACAGUGAUACUAAUUUUAAACAAGUUGAUAUAAGAAACAAAAGAAAAAAAAUGGACCCAAUAACUGCAAUUACUCUGGAUAAAGCAUAUAGCCAAAGACAACAGUUAAGUAAAAAUAAGAAAAAAGAUCUAAAAGAACUACUAACAAAGAAAUUGAUUCCCUCCUUUUAUGCAAGUUUUUAUAAUUCCAUUGUUUAGUAUUGAUUCUACUUAUUUUAUUUAAGAAUGAUAAAUACUGUUUUUUUAGAAAGUGUAAUAAUAUUACACACAAUUAUGUGUAUUGCCACAAAUUAAGUUCCUUUCUGCCAAAGUAUGCUUUUUUUUUAAUAAGGUUAGAUUGUGGGUGAUACUUUUAACUAAGUAAUUAUUAGCAUUUAACAAAUCAUUUAAUUAUUUUUGUUUUUUGUAUAAAACUAGAAACAAAUAAUAUUUGUAGUCGAAAGGUUAAACUGAAAGAAAGAAUUAUUAUAUGAUAACUGUCAAUUUUUUAUGUAAAGUUUACUUUUUUUAUUACAUUAUUAUUAUGUUAGUACUUAGUUAAAAACUAAGUUUUAAGUUUAAAACUUUUGGAAGUAAAUUAUUAGACUGAUUGUUUUUUAAGCUAAGUUUACUUUGACAUAAUUACUUAAUUAAUGUGUUACAUUUGAAUCUCAGCUUGUGAUAAUGCAUAAUGCAAGACUGACUUGCUCAUAAUUUGAUAAUUAUUUAAUGAUUAUAAAGUAUUUAACUGUGAGCUAUUAUUUUGUUGAAAUAUUGUGUAAAACUUAGGUAGUGAUUAUUUGUUUUUUUUUUAAUUAGAUAUUUUUAACUAUUUCAAUUUAAAAAUUGAAAAUAUUUGUACUAGAUUGCCUAUAAUCUAGGUCCAAAAGGGAAUCAUCAACAUUAAAAUUUGUGUGGUAAUUAAUAAUAAAUAUCUAACAUUAUUUAAUAAAAAUAUAAUAAUUUUUUGUAUUUCUUUUUUUACAAAAUGAUGCAAUAAUACAUAAGCCAAUAUUAUCAUAUUUUGAUUAAUAAUAAAACGAAGUAUUUUGGAAUAUAUUUUAAUAUCUCUUGCUAAUUUAUACAAAAGAGAAUUAUUUAGAACUGUUGCAUGUCUUUUUCGUCUACUAACUAGAUUUUUUUUGCAUAAACUGAUUUAACUCAAAACCUUUUUUUUGCUUCAAUUUUUUUAAGGUAUAAUAGAUAAUUAAGAUAAACGUAAUCAUUUAUAUUAAAAGACCAUAGUUUUGUCAAUUAAAAUCAGUAGUUAAAUUAUCGAAACACUAGUAAGUGGUUACUAGUACUUUUCAAAGACAAGUCGGAAUAAGUUGAAAACUUUAAUCGCUGAUUCCCAUAAGUUGUAGUUUUUGAGUUACAUCUUUUUAUUUUUAAGGGUGCGAUAUGUACGUGCUUGCUAUCAUGGCGCAGUGAGACACAGCUGUCAACACUUGACGCAAAAAAAUCGAGAGCAGUCACCAUUUGCCGUAAAUGGCAGGUUUAAAAGAGAUUUCAAAUUAUUUAGGCAAUCUUAUUUUGUACAGCCUCAGAAAGUUUAAUGAAAUAUUUUAAGGUGACUGCUGCUCUCAAAAAUAGAUUUUAUCCUCCCAUAACGGACAGAAUAGCCAGGGGCUCUACCAUUAAUCAAAUUAAUAUAAAUAUGAAUAGAUAUAGCAUAUUAGGUCAUUUUUUGUUAACAAUGUAUAUAAGGUUGAUUUUGAAUCAAUAACUGUUCAAAAUGAUAAUCUAAAUGAAUUUCCCCAGUUGUUAUAAUGAUUUAUUAAUUCUUGUACUUAGGUAUCAAUUAAAUCAGGCACGGUCUUAUUUAUGUGAACAUUAUGCGGGGAAAUGAAUGAAGAUGAAUAAUUUAAUAAUUAUUGAAGAUAAAUAAUUUAAUAAUUAUUCAUCUUCAAUAAUUAGAAGAAUGUCAUCUAAGAAUUGUGCAGGGGGUACGAUAUUUUCUUGGUAUCUUGCCCAACUGAGAUACCAUAUUAUGCACAUUGUAUGCGCACAGCAACCUACGGUCCUUCUACCUACAAUGCAAUUACAAUAAUACCCUAAUAUUGAAUCUCGUCCUAUUCGACAGCUGUCAACUAAAAUGUAAACAAAAUAAGUUUUGCGACUUAUAUGGCGGGAUUGUAUACGACCCCGCAAUAACCAUGAUAUAUUUGAAGCCGACAGCUGUCGAAGAAGGCUGUUGUCUACCUCCCUGCACACUUCUAUGAUGAACCCAUCAUUUCCCCGCAUAUGUUCACCAAAAUAGGACCGUGCCUGCUUUAAUUGAUAAGUACCCAAGAAUACAAGAAUUAAUUCAUCAUAUGACAACUGGGGAAAUUCAUUUAGAUUGUCAUUUUGUACAGUUAUUGAUUCAAAAUCAGCCCUACGUCUAUUAUAUUGAUUGUUAACAAUAAACUCACCUAAUAACAAAAUAUAUUAUAUCUAUUCAUAUUUAUAUUAAUUUGAUUAAGGCGCGGUGAAUAGACAACUUUUAUGUAUUUGAGGGGGUGAAGCAGGUGAAGUGGGUCUCGUGUACUGAGGGGUGCACCGUGCAAAUGUCAUUGAUACGCGUAUUCCAUUUUAUUUAGGAGCGUAAUUUCGCUACUAUAGUUUCAUGGACGAUUGGCCCAAUGCGUUGCUGUCUAGAUUCGCGUUCCGUGAUCCUUAAGAUCGAAUCUCAUUACUCGUAUUAGUUUUUGUUUUUUUAUUUUUUCAAUAUUAUGUUGUAUACAUUUUUAUUUUAUUUUUAUUUAUUUUUUUUGGUUUUUUUUAUGACUAAAACCGAAAUCGAACAAUAAUUUACACAAACUUACUACUACUAUAGUUUUUGCGCUAGUGACAGUUGCCUGUAUGACGUUGACGUCUCUCAGUACCACAUGAUUAGGGAUGGACAUUAGAAAGGUCUUUUUUUAUCGCUAUCGAUACUCGCAGCAUACAUUGAAUUCUCUUUAAUUUUGUUAUUAAAGUGUGUUGUUUAGUUGUGCAGUGUAUCUGCGUGUAUAUAAUGUCAAUAUACAGAUACAGAUUCAGAUGAUCCUGAAUCAGAUAAUAAUAUGAGUUUGGACGAAUAAUAAGUAAAUAAUUUUGGUUUUAAGCAAGGAGCGUGUGUGACGUGUCGAAGAUCUGACACGUUUGGCUCUCCAGUGCCCCGAACAGUCGCUACAGUCGAAGACAAGUUUUUUACAUUCAAUAUUCUGUACUUAGGGCCUAUGCACACCACGUCUUAUAAACGGCCGGCGACGCGCGUUUUGGAAACGCGCGUCGCCGGACGUUUUUCUCCUACAGUGCAGUUUGUUGUCGUUUGUAUCGAUACAAACGCGCGGCACCAGUGCGUGCGUAUCGAUAACACGCGCGUUUGCAUCGCUUCCGCAUCGCUACACACGCGUGUCUGUAUCGCUACACACGCGUGUCUGUAUCGCUACACACGCGCGUCAGGUGUGCAAAGGUCUACAGGCCGCGUCUAACUAUCGCGUCUGUAGCGAUACAGACGCGAUACGCACGCAAGUAUCGCGUCAGUAUCGCUAAAAACGCGCGUCGACGGCGCGUUUAAAAAACGUGGUGCAAACAUAGGCACUUAGAAGCAGUAGGCACUAAUCUUUUAAAAACUAAAAAACGGACAGGAGGAUAUAUAAAUAAAACACCAAUUAUGUAUAAAACAUGUAUUAUUCAUCUUCAAUAAUUAGGAGAAUGUCAUCUAAGAAUUGUGUAGGGGCGGGGUACGUAUAUUUUCUUGGUAUCUUUCCCAACUGAGAUACCAUAUUAUACAGGCUGAGAUGCACGCCACUGACGAAUAACUGAUAAAAUCGCCUCAUCUUCCAAGACUCUUCUGCCAAUAGAGUUACUGCGACCAGUCGCAAUCGUACAAUCUACACAGCGAUCCAUGUCGUCAAUAUCCGAUUGAUAGGCUUAAACAGUUGUCCAAAAUAGAGAGUAAGGUAAUUUAGAGAUGCAAGAUCCGUCAAAAGUCCUUUAUAAAGCCGAGGUCGUGGGGUUUAACAAUAAAACAUGGAAAAUACGUGCGCAUUUAGAACGAAACACAACAAACAAGUGUCAUCUGUCAAUCGAUGACUGACUGAUAUCAGACAGAAGUGUUGUAAGAAGUUUAAAUCACAGAGUACUUAUACGCAUAAAUGAUUAAAUAAUCAUUAAUGUUUUAUAACUUAAUUUAAGUUUUCUCGCUUCCCAGAUAGAAACAAGGUACCAUAUUUUGUGAUUUCCUUUAGAAAAAUAUGACGGUUUUUUUAAUAUACAUUUCAACUAGUUAACUGCUGGGCCCAAAAGUCCCCUUCUCCUUUCAAGAAUGGUACGGAACGUUACUGAAUGUGUCAUCUGCACCAUGCUACGCGGUAAUAGUAUAUGAAAAAAUUAAUUGUAUUUACAUAACUUUAAAUCGAUUUCGUACAAAAAAAUAUACUGACAACCCAACUUAGAAAAAGCUAAUUACAAAAUAAAAUAUUACAAACAGCAAAAAGAUAUGUUAGUGAAUGAUUAUUUUCUGAGCGGCGAUUGACACAAACUGACAUAGGUCCACCAAGCAGCGCGCCUCAGCGGUCACUGCCGGUCCGCGUAGGAAUGAAAGAGAAACGAAUAGAUGUCAUGAUCGGACGACGUUUUGUUCGAUUCGUUCUGAGAUAUUUAUCAUGAAUUAUAUUAAUUCUUACAAAUAUCUCAUUUCAAUCGACAAAUAAAUAAGGCAGAUCCCUUUAUUAUUUUAAAUUACGUCACUGUUAUUAAUUUUAUUAAGAUAUGUUCAUAAAUAAUAUAGUUACAAUGGCUAGAAUUUCAAUUUAAAUGGUUAGUUUAUGAUUUUUUUUUAUCGAGAAAAUUUAUAGAAAUCGUGUUUUGAAGAAGGUGGUCCAUUCAUAAAAAUGAUCAAGAUUAACAUAUAUUUUUUUUGUUGCUCUAACAUGUAAACAUUGGGCAAAAAAAUCUGUUGAAUCAAUCCUAUUUUGACUAUGCACAGCGCCUUAA
Spodoptera frugiperda (fall armyworm) is the source of this 5632-nucleotide long non-coding RNA. RefSeq lists it as uncharacterized. Lineage: Eukaryota; Metazoa; Arthropoda; Insecta; Lepidoptera; Noctuidae. The transcript is spliced from 2 exons. The record is from RefSeq and is a predicted model, not a curated record.